Long non-coding RNA from Hyla sarda, 172 nucleotides. RefSeq lists it as uncharacterized. The record is from RefSeq and is a predicted model, not a curated record. NCBI's taxonomy places the organism in Eukaryota, Metazoa, Chordata, Amphibia, Anura, Hylidae. The transcript is spliced from 3 exons.
ACAGGUGACUGAUGCCGAGUGAGAAGGUAUACCUGACACAUACCCCCAUCAGCUAACAGACAGGUGACUAAUGCCGAGUGAGAAAGUAUAGCUGACACAUACCCCGUCAGCUGCAAUAAAGGAACCACGAGACAGUCGACUGAUGCCCGGUGAGAAGGUGAGCCUGACAUAU